CUCGGCAACGGAUAUCUCGGCUCUCGCAUCGAUGAAGAACGUAGCGAAAUGCGAUACUUGGUGUGAAUUGCAGAAUCCCGUGAACCAUCGAGUCUUUGAACGCAAGUUGCGCCCGAAGCCACUANGCCGAGGGCACGUCUGCCUGGGCGUCACGC
This 155-nucleotide ribosomal RNA is filed under the name Melissa officinalis (common balm). RNAcentral's name for it is "5.8S ribosomal RNA". It matches the Rfam family "5.8S ribosomal RNA". From Rfam's summary of the family: 5.8S ribosomal RNA (5.8S rRNA) is a component of the large subunit of the eukaryotic ribosome. Lineage: Eukaryota; Viridiplantae; Streptophyta; Magnoliopsida; Lamiales; Lamiaceae. The record is from RNAcentral.